Sapajus apella (tufted capuchin) is the source of this 415-nucleotide long non-coding RNA. RefSeq lists it as uncharacterized. NCBI's taxonomy places the organism in Eukaryota, Metazoa, Chordata, Mammalia, Primates, Cebidae. The transcript is spliced from 2 exons. The record is from RefSeq and is a predicted model, not a curated record.
UCUGGAUAGAGAUAGACAAGAAAGAUGGGAUCCCAAUCUAGUGCUUUCUGCAGUGCCCAGUGAUAAACAGGAGGCUAACAAUUGCUGAUCAGGUACUGUGCACAAGCCGGACUCCAUGCCAAGAACUUGACAUGAAUUAUCACAUGUGCCUUCAGCUGAAUGUAAGAAGUCCAGAUACCACAAGGCCACCAUGUGGACAGACUACUUAGAGGAACUGGAAAGAGAGAGAGAGAGAGCUGCCUGAGCAGCAUUGCCAGCACCUACUUGUUUGAAUCUUCCCAGCCCAGAUAUAUGACGGAAAAAACUUCAAGAUGCCCAUUGGACAGCGGCCACAAGAAAGACCCGGAGUGAGAACUCCUAAGCUGAGAUCCCACUCUUUCAGAUUCCAAAGCCAAAUAAUUAUUAAUGUUUUGAG